CCUACGGGUGGCAGCAGUGGGGAAUAUUGCGCAAUGGGCGAAAGCCUGACGCAGCGACGCCGCGUGAGGGAUGAAGGUCUUCGGAUCGGAAACCUCUGUCAGCAGGGAAGAACGGUCACUGUGCUAAUCAGCAGUGAAUUGACGGUACCUGCAAAGGAAGCACCGGCUAACUCCGUGCCAGCAGCCGCGGUAAUACGGGGGGUGCGAGCGUUAAUCGGAAUUACUGGGCGAAAAGCGCUCGUAGGCGGUAUGUCAAGCCAAGGGUGAAAUCCCCGGGCUCAACGGGGGAAGUGCCUUUGAAACGGGAAACGUGAGUGGGUGAGAGGGAAGUGGGAUUCCAGGUGUAGGGGGGAAAUCCGG
Molecule: ribosomal RNA, 360 nt
Filed under: uncultured bacterium
Lineage: Bacteria
Description: partial 16S ribosomal RNA
Rfam family: Bacterial small subunit ribosomal RNA
Source: RNAcentral